AAGUCUGUUUACCUGCAUAUCUUCAGAUCAAUACUAUAAUGCAUUUACCAGACAUUUUACCGGCACAGCCCCAGACGAUAUUUCCUUAACAGACAUAUUUGUUCAGAACACAAAAAAAAUUGUACUAAAAACAUUACACAGGGCACAGACCACAGUACCUUCAACUCAAAGUAACUGGAAUGGAGGAAAUGCAAUGGAAAAGACUGGGAUUUGAACCUGUGCCUCCUGAAUCUCUAGUCAGGUGCUCUACCAACUGAACUCACUGGACCCACUGGUGAUCAGACCCAUCUGACUACCACACUAUAUUAAAUUAUGACAUUUGUAUUGUAAAUUUAUAUAUAUCAUAUAUAUGUCAAUUAUAUAUACAGUCCAAUUGUGAUCUAGCUGUAUCAGCUAAUACAUUGUUUCAAAUAUAGCUGGGAUUAGUUUUCCACACCAAUGUCCUUUAGACAAUAUGUAUUUCCUUUCGCUACAAUAAAUAUGAUAGAGCUUUUUACUUCUCUUUCUAAUCUAACAGACAUAUGGAUCACUAUGAUAUUAAAGGAUAAAACUCCCUAACACAUGCAAAUUCACACCUUAAUCUAAAUUAAUUAACUCUUCUUAAAAAGAUGAUCUAGCUUACAAAAGGACACAAUGACUUAAGAUGAUCUGAAUGAUAUUUUGUCAACAAUCCCCCUAUCUUUCUAAAAAAUAUUUUUUGUGCCGUCUAAAUGAACUCAACUGAGCUAUGAAAUAGCUGUGCCACAAAUCACUUAAUCUUGUAUUUUUAAGCAUUCAGGGAAUGUUUGGAAUUUCAAAUGUUACUCAAUAAUCAGUGUACGUGUUGCAAUUUCAAGUCAUUGAUCGCUUACAAGUGUCAGUUUAAAUUUCCUGAUUUUUAAAUCCUUACGACAAAUCUUGCAGAACAUACCAAUCUGUUUUGUGAUAUUAAACAGAAAACGCUGUAUUAUCACGAAUAUGGUAAUGUAAUGGAUAAUAUGGUAGAACAUGCAGAGACAAGCUAUAUAACUCUCUUCAGUAUUAUUGAACACAUUCAAUAUUGGUAAUAUUGAAUUAGCGACCUGAUCAACAUUUACAAGUGAAAGAUCUUUGUUCACUAAAGUUAAGUUCUGGUAAAAUCUAAAGAUGGGGGAGAAGACAAGAUUCCAUGCCCGACUCAGCAAUCUGAUUUCACAAAUUUUAACUGCCAGCCUGAAGGAGAUAUUUUAAAUGCACGGCCAUCACAGCACUUUUUGGCACAGGGACCAGGUUCCCUUUAAUCAGAAAAAUUGUUGUCAUUUUUUUUUUUAUAAAUUGGGAAAAUUGAGCUUACUGUCUCUUCCAUCCAAAUAAAGUUUAAAACACAAAGGACAGCAAAACAACACUUCUAACAUUCAUAUGAAUUCAGUUCUUGAAUCUCUCAAUCAAUUUGCUCCCUGUCUGUUUACAUUGUAUGAUAUAUUUUCAAUUCAUAAAUGCAUUUGUGAAAAUUUUGCUCUGACAUAUAAAAUUGGGAAAAUGGGUGAAUUUUUGUCAUUGGGAAUGGGUCCAAUAUUCGGUCCAACUUUGAGGAGAGUGAAUGCCCUGAAAGGAAUUUUUCAGAUCUUUUUCUAGAAAAUAACCUAUUUCAGAAUGAAUCACAUUAUCAUCAUACAAUAAUUCCUCCUACAUUCUUAAGUUUUUGCAUUGGACUAAGAUUCUAGAUCUGGCACUUAACUCUUAGACAGAGUACCUGUUCAUCACCAGAAAAGCCCUAUCACACAAAACAGCUUGUAUUUCCUACACACUGUGACAAAUAUAUACAUGUACUAUUGAGGUCUGAUAUCACAAUCUUUAAUAAGUCUUUUUGAUCCUAAGUACUAUUGACAGUGAGUUAUUUUAAUAAAAACGAUAGAAAUUGUACUUUGAUAGAAGCUAGACUUAUUUCAGUCCUGGCAUACAUGUUUCCGGUUACACAAAUAAAAUUUUAAGAGCUUGAUUGAAUUUUUCAGAUAUUAAAAGUAUACACGUAUUUGACAAGAAAAGACGUCCCUCAAUCUUAUUCACUUAAAUAACCAAAGAACAGGGUUUUAUCAAAGCAUCAAUAUGAUCCACCCGAGGAGGUGAGCAGUAAAACUGCCACCAGCAAUUCAUUUCUCAAUAUUAUCACAGUUUUCAUCCAUUCAUUCUAAUUAUUCCUUAAUCUUAAUGGAUCAUCAAUUCAAAAUUUAUUUUUAAAGCUCUUUUCAUUCCAAAUGUUGAAAUCUGUUGACACAAGAAGCAUUUCCAUAUUCGAGAUAAGUGGGUUACCAGCUUUCACAAUAACUCUAUAUCUGCAUGUGUUUGCAAUACCAAAGAAAUUCAAUGACAUUGGUUCUAACGCAUAACGAAACUCUAGAUUAUAUUUGAUAAAAAGGGUAACGGCAGUUUUCUUCAUAUUGAAGCCUCCCAUGAAUUUCAGAAAUGCACUCUGGUUCACAGGCGGAUGUGUGCCCCCUUAACCUUCAAAAUCAUCAUAAUCCUUGAGGGUUAGUCAAUUAAACGCUUGAUUGUAGUAACACUUUGUAAUUUGAAAGAGUUUUUGAGAUGGUAGUGAGGGGAGACCUUUAUUUUUUGUGUGACAGAGCAUGAAAAGUCGACCCACUAGCUUUAUGAUUUAAAUGAAAAAUCCCAAGUCAUUCAAUCAUUUCUGUUGUGGGUUGUUUAUCAAAUUUGACAGUCACAGGUAUCACAAUUAUAAUCUUAAUGUGGAAGUUUUAAGCUUUUUCUCAUAAAAUUGUCCUGCUCGUCAAAAAAUCAUUAAAAUCAAUUAAGGUUGUACAAUAAGUUCAAGAAAUACAUUUUUGAAUUUUCUAGAGAUGAUGUAGAAAAUCAAAGAUAUCAAAUAGGACUCGCAUAAAGGGUAUAUUUCCUAUACUCAAACCACUAUCCACAGUAACAUCAGUAUCCUAUACUCAAACCACUAUCCACAGUAAUGUCAGUAUCCUAUACUCAAACCACUAUCCACAGUAACGUCAGUAUCCUAUACUCAAACCACUAUCCACAGUAAUGUCAGUAUCCUACCCUCAAACCACUAUCCACAGUACUGAGCAUCAUAGAUUUAACCACUAUCCACAGUACCGAGUAUCAUAGAUUUAACCAUUAUCCACAGUAUUGAGGGUUAGGAUAGCCUACACUCAAGGCCAAUAUCUCUAACUUGGAUCAAUAUCCAUAGUAUUAGUGACACCCUACAAUCAGACAUUCUGUAUUUAUAGAUGUGAUAAGAAGGUCACUCUGGUAACAAGACAAAAAAGUUUCAAUCUUGAAAUUUAAAUCAAAAGCUUUGUGUCCAUUUCUGACCCUUCAAUAUGCUAAUUAAAAUUGAAAUUUACAGGCUUUGAAUGAAAUUCCUAUAAUUACGUGUAAUUAAAAGACGACCAGGAAGAUUGCUGUCUAUGCAUGCAUGCAAUGAUAUUUAGAGUAAAGCAGACUUACAUGUAAUAUACAUGACUACAUGUACAUAUCAAUAUAGUGUACUUUAAUGACUGUGAAAACCACAAAGACUUAGAUAUAUUGUGAAUCAUUUCACCACAAUAUUAAUGUCCUUGGUCCACUUCCAGCAUAUAGAAGCCUAUAUUUAUAAACUGAUUGGGUGUGAUUCAUUGCAUGAGGUAAACGCAAAGGAUAAUUUAAGAAGGAUUUGAAUUAAUCAUAAUUGGCUGUUUAAAGUUUUCCAACGCAAUUUAAAAUGUGAUAUACAAAGCAGCACAAAAGUAGAGAUAAUGCUUAAGAAAGCUUUCAGCCGUUUCCAGUCAGGUCUUAACAAACGUACAAGUGCCCAUGAUCCGUUACGUCUUAAGAUAAAUCUUCAUUUGUCUAUUGCGGUGCUAUUUAUCUUCAACCAACCCCCCUCUUAUUUUUUGUUUCUUACAGAAAUUUGUAGUAUAAGUACUGUUUAUAUUAUCUUAAGUCUUUAAUCUUUACACUCUUAGCAAGGUGAGAAAACAACUUAUAUAACGUAAGACGGCUGUAUUUUUGUUUGAAUUCUAAGUCAGGAGUGAAUGAUCUGUGUGAUUUGAAUGUUUUACGUAUAUCUAAUAGGCUUGUACAUUCUCAGACUUGCACAGACACACAAACACAAAGAGAACAUCUAUAGUCCCUGUCAUUAAUGCCAACAGGGUGUUCCACAAUGUUCUAAAGAUGAACUGACCUCUGUAAACAAACUCACAGGGAAGAACGAAUACGGAGCUAAAUAAAAGAUUUCUGUCGAUCACAGACAGAUCAGAAAUAUGAUUGUGCUUAUCACAUUUGAUCGAGAGCUAGUCCUUGAUUGUUUGUAAAUGUUGGGUGUUACUAAGUUCUUUUGAAAUAUUAAAUACUGCAGAUAAUCCUAAAUGUAUUGUUAUCAUUCCCUCUGUGCAAUUAGAUUGUUACGAUAAAAUAUUGAAUUUCAUUGAAAAUAUUAAUGCGUAGUGGCAGAAAAACAGUGAGGAAAACCGAGUAUGCUUACUGUUUGACAUGAAUAUUUUGAACUAAAUUAAAGGCUGGCAUUUCAUUGAGCAAGAUUCCCGUUAAUUAGAAUAUUUAAUUCAAACAGUAUAUAUUCCUCAAAAAUCAGUAAUUUAAAAACUUCCUACUCCUUAGCAUACACACCUACCUAGAAUUCUCUUUCAUUAUCAUCAUAAUCAUUUAAUCACAUUGAAUUCAAAAACUCUAUUAUAUCAUUUCUUUUAAAAUCUUCAUUUCAUAUUUGUAACUGUCAUAUUUUGUUAUUGUAUGCAAAUUAAUGUACUUGUUCCAGAAAUCAGUUCAAGGUAAGCUCUGCACAUGUCUGUGAGGACAUUAAAUGGCUAAUUAAAUCUGUUCCUAGGUCUCGUUGUACACUUCCAAGCUUGUAGAAUCCCGAAUGUUUACGGUUACCAUUAGUUUAGGACAUACGGGACAUUUCUCAGUGAUGCAUAAUUUUUCGUGACAUUUCACAUACAAUACACAUUUAUUCUAUCUCAGCUUGGGGUAUAUAACCAGGUCUGUUUUAGCUAGCAUAUCUUGGUUACUGGUUAUUGCAAGUAAAAAUGUAAAGUCAUUAUAUUAUAAAUAUUACAGAAGUUUGUAUGUAUGGACAUUGAAAUUUAAGUUAUUGUCGCAAAGAAGGGAGAAAAAUCUUUGGAACAAUCGGAGAUCGAACCCGGGGGACCAUUGCAUUAAUAGUUGAUCUAACCACUGAGCUACCCGAGCCGAUAUACAAAGUAUGGUAACAUUACUGCAUUAUAAAAUUCAAGCCUAUUUCGGAAAUCAUACAAGAACUCUUUAUAUUGAGGAGAUGAAAAAAUAAUUUUAGAGAAAAUGUCAAAAGCAUUGAGUAUGUUCUUAAAUCUCAAAAGUAACAUUACACGCUUGAACUAAUUAUACAAUGUUCCUGUGACUUUUCUUGACUAAUCAUAAAUCUUCCUCUAAAAUUCAUAAAAAAUGGAAUGAACAUGUAAUUCAUUUGAAAUACUAUAAAGUAUAAAAUCUCAGUUUUAUUUCCUUUCAGGACCAGCUUUCACUUAAGAAAUUGGUGUUUGACACCCUCCUUCAAUUGUCCAAACUUCACUACGACAGAUUCAAGUGUGGCCUAGCUGUUAAAUCAUUGAUAAUGGUCAAUAUUGAUUUGAUUAUAUGGGUCAAUAUUGAUUUGAUUAGAUAACUUGAUAACGCAAUGACAAAAUUCUAUUGUUAUCUACGUAUUUGACAUCGGGUAUAUGUGAAUUCAUGAAUUAAUCCUUAGGAAUACAAUCUCGCUUGUGGUAUACAGAAAUAACAGUUCGACUAAUCAACAUGAUUGUAAUGUGAUCAGACCACAUGUUUACUUUCUGAUUUACAGUUUACCCAGUGAGUGACCAAAUGUGCAAGAAAUUAUUCAACUCUCAAGUAUAAUUUAUGAAUAUGUUAUAUAUCUUUACAUUGCAUAUCUAUUUUUACACAAUAUAUAAAUAUAUUGAAUGUGUUUGUUUGACCAUAAAAUCACUUGUUCAAUUUCAUCAAUAUAAUACUACAUUAUUGUCGAGACGUUUUGUGCAACGGCAACCUCACAAAUAUUUAUUUUCAACAUUAAUAUUUUAACCAAAAAUGCAUGAAACUUCAAUUAUACAAAAUAUCAUACAGAGAGAGAGAGAGAGAGAGAGAGAGAGAGAGAGAGAUUGUAAAAAGAGGGGUUUAAGGAAGUACAAGCUGUUCUGUGUCAGUCAUUCCAAAAGUUCCCUUUGAUCUUUCUUCUCAUAACAGAAAACAAUAAUUAUAAAACUAAAUCAUACUAGAUCAUCGAAAAUCCAAUAACCCUCUUAUGAUUGAGCUAAUCAACGGUCACCUCUUAAAACUAAUGCAAUCAAAGCUUGGCGUGUUUUUAUAGCAUGUGAAACUUCAGUAGCAGAUCAAAUGAAGUCAGCAGGUAUAAACAGAUUAAUCCAAUCUUUUAAACCUCUUAUUGGUGACUUUUAUAAUAUAUAUCUAAAGUUUUCUCGUUAGAACUUAUGAUAUCAUUAAUAAUUUUUUUUUACCUUUGUAAGCCAUAUUUUAUGACUAUCUCAAUUUUUUCUUUGUUUUGUUUAAACAAUUUCUUAAUUAUUAAAGAUUUUUUUAUCAUUAAAAUUGUAUGCAGGAUGUCUAAAUUUGAAAUAAAAUUGAUAGAUCAGAAAUAUCAGGGGUGUAUAAUAUUUGUGAGAUCAAUUAUUGAGGGUUCGGUAAUUUUGUCACGUUCCCAUUUUGAGGUGUAAAUACUUAAGAAAACAUAAAUAAAGGAACAUCUUGGUGUGGCACUCAUAAUUGAAGCUAAUUCAAACUUUUUAAAAACCCUACACAAAAAAUUUACACAUGGAUACCAACAGGCUAUAACAAUUCUUUAGCCAUGAUCAUUUAAGUAAAUCAUUGGACAAGCUAAUCUUAAUGCACUAUCAAAACACUCCAUCAGAAUUCUAUGCUAGACACAAAUUGUCCUUUAAAACAAAUUCAUCUACACCUUAAUUGUUAUUCAAAAAACAUGGCUUUUUAAAAAAAAUUCAAUACAUUCAAGCAACUGUUACGGAAAUGUAAUCGGACACCUUUCUUUUAAUAUGAUGCAAUUAAAUGUGAUAGAAAUAAAAACUCGACAACAUAAUAUAAUUUUAUUGCUUAUGUCAUUUUCCUAAUUUAACUUGAACAUUUACAAAUUGCCCUCCUACAUUGACCUGACAAAUCCAGAGGUGUUUUUUAUUUUAUCCAUGACAUUAGGAAUUCUAAUCGUUUUAUAUCCUAUUUAGGGUAAUUUGUAUGUGUUGAUUUUACAGAAGAAAUUUUUUUUUAACACCCACAUGUAACAUUCCUCUGCCAUUUUAUCAAAUCAAAUAUCAAUAUAGUUUUAAUGUUUUGUUUCUAUUUGACAAGUUCUGAUUAACUGGUUAUGGUACGGUUCCAAUGAUAAUUAAUUCAUUGACAAUGGUGCGUGUUUAAGUACAUGAAUUCACAUUCCGGAGUGUCUAAGCAAAAUAUGACUGAUGGUCCUCCCUCAAAUUCUGCAUGACACUGACAUUAAAAUUUAUACACACUGUCAAGCAACUCUAUGUACAUAAACACUGAGUUUCAAAGUAUUUUCAACAAAUUCAUUCUGUGUUGGUUUACAAUGAACAGGUAAUCAUAUGAGCAAGUUUUAUAUGGAUCAUUGUCUCAACAAAGAAGGUAAAAAUCACCAUUAAACACCAAAGGUAAAUUGAAAUUACUUGAGACGUGUCAAAUACUGGUGGUUUACUUUGAUCAAAUUUUGCCUCGUUCUUUGAAACUAUACACAAAAACAGCACACACUAAAAAAAUCAGCUGUAUAAACAGAAAACACAUCCUGUUGAACACAAUUAACAUCUGUAAGAUGACGGUUACAAUUUCAGUAGUCUUCCUGGUUUUCUUCAAAUCUUCAAAAUGAGAGAGGUGUGGGAUGGGGAUGGGGGUAAUUAAUGUGUUCUGUUGCACGUUUAUAUAUUUUGACUCAUUACUUGCUUAUGAACUUCACUUAUGUGACAAAAUCUUUCAACAGUCCAAAGUGUAGGUUGUAUUUGUUUAUUGACCUGUGAGCAUCAAUGAAUGUUUCCCAGCGAAAAAUAUCAUUGAUUGAUCCAGGUUUAUCCUCCGUUUACGACCAGUAUGUGACAUAUGAUGGCUAAAUCACUGAUUUACACGACAACUACAGAUAUAUGACUUACCCAGUAAGAGAAUUUUGAUGACAUUCUGAUCUUUCUUGGCCCAGGUCUGCAAGUUGCGGUCGAUAGCCUCACUCCGAGCCCGGGCCUUUAGUUCUUCCUGGUCUAGGCUCAGACACUGGCCCAUUGAGCUACAUGCUGUAAAUUCUCUGCUGUAAAAUGUCAGAUCAAUUCAUUUGAUACAAAAAACUGCAAUAUGCUGUUGCUUUUUUAAUAAAUAUCCGAUAGGUUUAAAAUUUCUUAUUCAUCCCUAUCACUCAUAAACAAUAUGACACUACAAAGUGGAACAGCCUCUCCCAACUGAGCACAUUCAUGAAUGUAACUAUUUUAUAUAUAUCAAUGUUACUCAUUUGUAAAAUACUACAGUAUUCUAAUUUCGUAAUGCAGGGGAAUAAUAUCUAUAUCAUGAUGAUACUGUAUUUUUACAGUUUCGAGUUCUUAUUGCUGGUAUACUAAUAUGGCCCAUCUUGGAACUCUUGAAUUUUCAUAGAUAUAUCAAUCAACUCCACAUCAUAAAAUUCUUAAAUCAUAAAUGCUUUUUUCUCAAAGAAUUUAACUAGCAUUUGUAUCACCCUACAGAAAAACUUGGUAGGUGGUUUGUUAACUUUAUAGCUACGAAUAUGAGAACUGUUUUCUAAUGUAGAUUAUGUUAAUCAUCUAAGAAAACCGAUGUACGAGUACACAAUACGUAACCCGAGGCCUGUAGGCCCCUACAUCAAUAAAAUUACUGUCUUUCAGGAGAAAAUUUGGGAAUUCGAUUUAACACAAAAUUUCGUAACUUUGAAAAUUCAACCUUUAUUUUCUAUCCCCCUAGGUUGUCCUGUCAAAACUUUUCCCUUUUCACAACAUUUUCCAGAGUGUUCACAAAAAAUGCCUUCAACAAUCUUGCACUGUGUAGCUGUAUUUGCUGUCAACUUACCUGUGUCAAAAAAUAUUUCCACGUUUUUAAAAAGUUUUAAAAUCCUGCAUGUGAAUCUUAUCUCAGUGGCGUUUACACCUGUACUGC
Molecule: long non-coding RNA, 9144 nt
Organism: Ostrea edulis (European flat oyster)
Lineage: Eukaryota; Metazoa; Mollusca; Bivalvia; Ostreida; Ostreidae
Exons: 2
Source: RefSeq, a predicted model, not a curated record